This is a long non-coding RNA of Ziziphus jujuba (common jujube), 1280 nucleotides long. RefSeq lists it as uncharacterized. The transcript is spliced from 2 exons. The record is from RefSeq and is a predicted model, not a curated record. NCBI's taxonomy places the organism in Eukaryota, Viridiplantae, Streptophyta, Magnoliopsida, Rosales, Rhamnaceae.
CAAGCUUCCUUAUUUCAUAUUGCUGUCAAUCCCUGUUAUAAAUAAAGAAAUAGAUCUGAGAUCAUAUCAAUAAUUGCGUCAUUGGCUUGGGCGCGUUUUAUUCAUGCUGCAUGUUGGGGCCGGAGUUGGACAACAUUAUUUUUUUUUGGUUGGUUGGUUGGUCAUGCAAAAAACAAAGUAUUAUUAUGGAAGACAUUAAAAAAAGUAAGUGAUAUGGGGAUGAAGAGCGCGUUUGGCCACCAACCCAUUUGAAUUCGAGUAUUUUGACCAUACAAUUACAAUUACAAUUACAAAACAAGGGAUAAAAAUAGAAUUUAGAAGUAGAAGCUGGAGAAGCCGAACGCAUGAACCAUGACCCAUGAGUCUUUGGCGUGGCGGCAACUAUGAGAAGGAAAGUAAAGUGGGUUUGGGUUGGGAAUUCCCAAAACGUUGGGGGCCAAACCGGCACGUAGCAGUGGUAGGGACGCAGUUGGUAAGACUGACUCGUCAAACGUCCUCACCCACCAUAUCGACCAAAUUGACCAAGAAAAUUCACCAAAUUCCCACAGCAAAAUGUAAAUGGAGUCUUUAUCUUCAACAAGGUGGAUGGUUGGUUGCUGAAGUUUAAAAGCACGGCAUGUCAUCUGCACUUCCAUGACUACUUAUCUCCUUCAUUUUACAAUCGACAUUUUCAUCUUCACCAUCUCCAUCAUCAUCAUGGGACCUUCAAUUGUUUCUUCAUGUUUAAUUUUAUUCUGAACCAAGUGGACCCGCACCCGCCCUGUAUUAUCUUCUCUAACACAGAUCAGAUCAGGUACUUCUUAGAAAAAUAAAAAAAAAUUCAACUAUUCCUUCCCACAACAGGGCCAUUAAUUUUCAAAGUUUCAGCAUGCGUUGUGUCUAACUUCUCCUGCGCUACUGCACAAGUACAGGCCAAUAUGAAAUGAAUCACAAAAGAAAGAAAGAAAAAGAAGAAGAUUGCAGUACAAGAUAACAGAAAAAUAUGAUGUUGAUUGAGUUUCAAAAUCCUUCAUCCUUGCCAUGGAAUCGAAUUUGUUUUUGUCUUUUUGGUUGGAUAACCCCAUUCCGCAGGGAGGGAGGGACCAUGAUCCAUGUUGGUUUUACCAUUUUAACUUCCUUUUCUUUUUUACAAAAAAAUAAAUUUAUUAUUGUUUAUUUCCUUUUAUUAUCUUGGGGAAUGGACAAGUUCGUAAAUCAAUGUGAACAUGGGUGGGUGGUGAUCGUCUUUAACCGGGAAUCUCUACUUUAUAAGAAAAAUAUAUAUAUCCCCAGUUUGUCUA